Trifolium pratense (red clover) is the source of this 475-nucleotide long non-coding RNA. RefSeq lists it as uncharacterized. NCBI's taxonomy places the organism in Eukaryota, Viridiplantae, Streptophyta, Magnoliopsida, Fabales, Fabaceae. The record is from RefSeq and is a predicted model, not a curated record. The transcript has 2 exons.
ACUUCGAUUCCUGCAUAAUAUGUGAAAGUGAUUAUUGAAAAUCUAUAAUUGUCCUAAAUUGUUUAAUUGAUGUAGACGGGGCAUGAAUAUUUUCAUUAUAAAUUGAUGAAACAUGUCAUUUGUAAUAUACACAUGUAAAAAAAUAUGACUAAAACUCUCAUGUUUGUGUAUGUUAAUGUUAUGGUCCUCUUUCUUUUUCUAUUUCUUACUAUAACUGGAGUCAGCGCAUUGGGUGAAUUUUGUUGUUUCCAUGGUGAUUGUUCGAGCUCUGAUUGCGAUAUACCUAAGGUUGGGACUUGCAUCAAGCGUCAUUGUUUGUGCUUGUAGUAAUUAAGUAUUGAAAAUGAUUUCAAUGUUAAUUAUAAUCACAUUAUUUUGGUUGUUGGUUUACAAGCAGAAUAUUUUACUAGCAGCUAAAAUAAUGUCCUCCCUCCUGUCCUUUUUAUAAGGAAUAUUUUGAAAAAAAAAUUUGGUC